CUGGAACCGUGGGAGCGGGGAACGCGCUUCCGGGGCUGCGAUGGGAUCCAUUCAGGAUGGUAGAGGGGUGGGUCCCCUGGGCUGUGGGGUGCGGGUCGGGUUUGAGCAGUUCUGUCGGAGUAGAUGGCCAUAGAAUAGCCAUCGAGCGCCGGCGGUGGAGGGAGGGAGGGAGGGAGGGUUUAGUUGAUGGGCGCGGCGGUGCGUUGGGUUCACACGCAAGACUUGGCUGGUCAGGCAGCAUCUAUGGAGGGGAAUAAACAGUCGGCCCGUCAUCAGGACUGGAAAUGCGACACAUCACCCACUGUCGGGGUCAUCUACUAGAUUCGGUGCGACCCCUUUUACAUCGGCAAGCACCACAAAAGGCAGAACAUGUCUGUCCAUGGCCUCCUCUACCGCCUCGCUCGCUGUGGCCAUAAACACUGCGGGGGAGCCUGGGUAACCUCCAACCUGACGACAUGAACGUCGGUUUCUCCAGCUUCGAGAAAUGUCUCCCCCCUCCAUUCUCCUCAGCAGCCUCUGAUAAUCCUUUUUCCCUUCCUCCCACGGUCACUGGACGGAAACCCGCUCCCUCAGCGAAACCAGGACGUCCGCGCCGAUGGAAACUGCCAGCGGCACCCGGCCUGCUGGAGGAGCUCAGGGAGCCGAGCAGCGUCCGCGGACAGGAGGAGCGGGGCUGAGUCCAGUUCCGGGCGGGGCCGUGAGUGGGGAGGGGAGACGGCCGCUUCGUAGAAGAAGAUCUUAUGGUGACGGGAGAAGGCAGGAGAGUGGAGUUGAGAGGAACAAUAAAUCAGCCCUGAUGGAAUGGCGGAGAAGAUUCGAUGGGCCAAAUGCCCUAAUUCUGCUCCGUUGACUUAUGGUCUUGGGUGAGAUACGUCCACCCCCCUCCCCCCAUUGGCGGGCCGAGGAGACACUGGUCGAAUCAGGCAGGGGAGGGGAGGUGCUGUCAUCCCUGAGCCCGGUACACACUUGGCGGGUGGGUUAGGUGGUCCGCUGUUCCAUUCCGCAGACCAGGCCACGGGCAGGGACCUGCGGUUCGGGCUGAGUCCGCAUUUCCCAUGUAAUCGGGGCUCCAUUCACAGGGCUGAUUAAUUACCUGCUACUGCUCUCUGCACCGCCCCCCCCCCACCGAGCAAAGCCUGGGGAGGGGGGAGGGUCCCCGCCACGGACUCUGUCUGGCUGCCCAUUGUCCAUGAAAGGGCGGAGACAGUGACCCGUCUCAGGGACUGUGCUUUAGACACGGUCCGCUGAACGCUGUGUCCGUCCGCCGGCUCUGCGUGAGAACUGUUUAGACUUUUCACCCCUCUCUUCGGAACGGGUUGGACAUGGAAGCUUUAGAGAGAGUGCAGAGGAGGUUUGCCAGGGUGUAGCCUGGAUUGGAGAGCAUGUCUUAUGAGGAAGGUCAACAUAGAAGAUUUGGGAUGAAUGGCCUUCUCCCCUGCUGUAUGGAAAGAACUCCAGGUUGGGAAUAUCUGGAACAUGGCAUCUGUCAGAGGUGAAUCCUCCAGCAAUCGCACUUCCCCCAACCUCUGGUUACUUGACCUUCAGCGAUCGAUGUAUGGGGAUGGGAGGGAACACUGACGCCCUGCCAUCUCUCACUGUCUAAUGGACACCAGCGCCUAGGAGAGACCGUGUGCAUCGGUCUCUGACCGGGUCUAUCUCCACCUGUGUCAGGACCCUGGGUGACUUUGGGUCGUGGGUUUGGCUGGG
Molecule: long non-coding RNA, 1707 nt
Organism: Hypanus sabinus (Atlantic stingray)
Lineage: Eukaryota; Metazoa; Chordata; Chondrichthyes; Myliobatiformes; Dasyatidae
Exons: 3
Source: RefSeq, a predicted model, not a curated record